GAUGAACGCUGGCGGCGUGCCUAAUACAUGCAAGUCGAACGGAAAGAUCAUGAUCUUGCUCCGUUCACGUUAGCGGCGGACGGGUGUGUAACGCGUGGAUAACCUACUUAUAUUUCUGGGAUCAUUACGUAAAACCGGCUAUAAUACCAGAGAAUAUAUUGAACCGCGGUGGGCAAUGGAAAAUUGCGGUUUUUGUGUAUCGAUUAGCGGGUUCCGCGCUGGAUUAGCUAGUUGGUACGGUAACGGCCUACCAAGGCGACGAUGCGUAUCCGAGCUGAGGGGCUGAUCGGCCACACUGGAGCUGAGACACGGUCCAGACUCCUACGGGAGGCAGCAGUGGGGAAUAUUCGGCAAUGGGCGAAAGCAUGACGCAGCAAGCCCGAGUGAGUGAUGAAGGCCUUCGGUUCGUAAAGCCCUUUUUUUGGGUAAGAACAGCUGUGUACUUAAACAUGGCCGUCUUGACGGUACCUAAUCAAAAAGCACCGGCUAACUACGUG
RNAcentral lists this ribosomal RNA (497 nucleotides) under uncultured bacterium. Its description in RNAcentral is "partial 16S ribosomal RNA". It matches the Rfam family "Bacterial small subunit ribosomal RNA", at positions 28 to 507 of the family's 1533-position model. The record is from RNAcentral.